This 372-nucleotide ribosomal RNA is filed under the name uncultured Desulfobulbus sp. RNAcentral describes it as "bacterial SSU rRNA". It matches the Rfam family "Bacterial small subunit ribosomal RNA", at positions 1014 to 1382 of the family's 1533-position model. The record is from RNAcentral. Lineage: Bacteria; Pseudomonadati; Thermodesulfobacteriota; Desulfobulbia; Desulfobulbales; Desulfobulbaceae.
CUUCCAUCUGGAAGAAUCUGGAGACAGGUGCUGCAUGGCUGUCGUCAGCUCGUGUCGUGAGAUGUUGGGUUAAGUCCCGCAACGAGCGCAACCCUUGCCUUUAGUUGCCAGCAGUUCGGCUGGGCACUCUAAAGGGACUGCCGGUGUUAAACCGGAGGAAGGUGGGGAGUGACGUCAAGUCCUCAUGGCCUUUAUGACCAGGGCUACACACGUACUACAAUGGCCGAUACAAAGGGCAGCGACACUGCGAGGUGAAGCCAAUCCCGUAAAAUCGGUCUCAGUCCGGAUUGGAGUCUGCAACUCGACUCCAUGAAGUUGGAAUCGCUAGUAAUCGUGGAUCAGCAUGCCACGGUGAAUACGUUCCCGGGCCUU